Callithrix jacchus (white-tufted-ear marmoset) is the source of this 303-nucleotide unclassified non-coding RNA. It matches the Rfam family "Metazoan signal recognition particle RNA". From Rfam's summary of the family: The signal recognition particle (SRP) is a universally conserved ribonucleoprotein. It is involved in the co-translational targeting of proteins to membranes. The record is from Ensembl. Lineage: Eukaryota; Metazoa; Chordata; Mammalia; Primates; Cebidae.
GCUGGGCAUGGUGGCGUGCACCUAUAGUCCCCCCUACUCGAAAGGCUGAGGUGGGAGGAUCGCUUGAGCCCAGGAGUUCUAGUCUGUAGUGUGCUUUGCUGAUAGGGUGCCCACACUAAGUCUGGCAUCAAUAUCUUACCUCGUGGGAGCAGGGGACCACCAGGUUGCAUAAGGAGAAGUCAGCUGGCCCAGGUCAGAAACAGAACAGUCAAAACUCCCAUGCUGAUCAGUAUUGGGACUGCACAUGUGAAUAGCCACUGCACAUGUGAAUAGCCUGGGCAACAUGCUGAGACCUUGCCUCUU